AGCUUUGCGCAGUGGCGAUAUCGUAACCAAUGAGGUACAACCGAGGUGCCAUUAUUGCUAGUUGAAGUACGUAGACUCGCCCACACAUACCCUCGCCCGCGCACCCUUUCGAAAACUUCUUCAAAAAUAAAAUUUUAGAAAUUUCUCUUAUGAA
Aedes albopictus (Asian tiger mosquito) is the source of this 154-nucleotide small nuclear RNA. RefSeq annotates it as U4 spliceosomal RNA. Lineage: Eukaryota; Metazoa; Arthropoda; Insecta; Diptera; Culicidae. The record is from RefSeq and is a predicted model, not a curated record. The transcript has a single exon.